CGUGAGUCGCUGUGGACCACGACGAACGCUCGCGGCUGGCAGCUGGCAGGAGAACGGAAGACGCCGAGCGACCGGCGACGCGAUCGGUCGCCCUCGCGUCUCCGAAGGAGCGUAGGCGGGCGUCGUCAUGCCUGGACUCGGAGUUUCCUUCUCCGGCGGUUCCCCCGGGGAACGCGCUUCCGUUUAUGCGUACGAUGAACCCCGCAUUGUUCACUUAACGCGCGUGAUUGGACGUCGAUGCACAAACGUCACGUUGCACGGCUCGCGGCCGGUGGGUUGUUACGUCCGACGACUCGACUACGCGUGUCUCUAAUAAAAACGAUUUGAAACGAUUUUUUUUCUCUUCAAACAAACAAGAUCACCGAGUAUAUUUUCGAUUCGACUUUAAUCGAGCGACGCGAAUGCAAAUUCAAAGAGACGAUGGAAAGAGAGAGUUAGGAGAGACAAAAUUAAAUGGAAAGCUGACGGAAUGGAAGUAGCCACUAGAGGCGUUGCGAUCGAUGUUCGCAGGGGGACGAGGGACGUCAGAGGCGGGGGGAAUAUCUGUCUGUCUUUAUUCCACUCGCAGUCUUCACGAAACAAUAUGAUAAAUUAAUAACGCUUUAAAUAAUUUAAGACUAUAAAUGAAUUAGU
Molecule: long non-coding RNA, 633 nt
Organism: Ooceraea biroi (clonal raider ant)
Lineage: Eukaryota; Metazoa; Arthropoda; Insecta; Hymenoptera; Formicidae
Source: RefSeq, a predicted model, not a curated record